AAUCGAACCCGGAGAUAGCUGGUUCUCCUCGAAAUAGCUUUAGGGCUAGCCUCAUGGAUCAUUGAUGGGGGUAGAGCACUGAAUGUGCGCGGGGGCCACAAAGCCUACCAAACGCUAUCAAACUACGAAUACCAUACAAUGCAGACCAUGGGAGUCAGUCCGCGAGAGAUAAGUUCCGCGGGCAAAAGGGGAACACCCCAGAUCAACCGCUAAGGUCCCCAAGUUCACGUUAAGUGGAGAAGGAUGUGGAAUUGCACAGACAACCAGGAUGUUGGCUCAGAAGCAGCCACACAUUUAAAGAGUGCGUAAUAGCUCACUGGUCGAGUGAUUGUGCGCCGAAGAUGUCCGGGGCUAAACGUGACACCGAAGCGAUGGGUGCAUCUGAAAGGAUGCGCGGUAGAGGAGCAAUGUGCAGAGGCAGAAGCCGUAUCGAGAGGCACGGUGGACACUGCACAAGAGAGAAUGCCGGUAUGAGUAGCGAGAGGCAUGCGAGAAACAUGCCCGUCGAAAGCCCAAGGUUUCCUGGGGAAGGUUCAUCCGCCCAGGGUAAGUCGGGGCCUAAGCCGAGGACGGAAGUCGUAGGCGAUGGACAGCAGGUGUAGAUUCCUGCACUACCGAUGGAAUGAAGCAGUGACACAGAAGGAUAACUCGAGCAGGGUGAUGGUCAACCCUGUGCAAGCAUCAAGGUUGGGUUGUAGUGAAGUACGCAACCCUACAAGCUGAGGUGUGAUGCGGACCGAAAUUUCAGUAGGGAAGCGAGUGAGUUCACGCUGGCGAGAAAAGCUGCUAGUACAUCCAAAGGUACCCGUACCGGAAACCGACGCAGGUGGGCGAGGAGAGAAUCCUGAGACGAACGGGAGAACCCUUGUUAAGGAACUCGGCAAAAUGACCCCGUAACUUCGGGAUAAGGGGUGCCUGCGAGAGCAGGCCGCAGAGAAUAGUCACAAGCGACUGUUUAGCAAAAACACAGGUAUCUGCGAAAGCGAGAGCUGACGUAUAGGUGCUGACACCUGCCCGGUGCUGGAAGGUUAAGGGAACAUGUUAGAGCAAUCGAAGCAUCGAACCGAAGCCCCAGUAAACGGCGGCCGUAACUAUAACGGUCCUAAGGUAGCGAAAUUCCUUGUCGGGUAAGUUCCGACCCGCACGAAUGGUGUAACGACUUGUGAGCUGUCUCAACAGGGGGCCCGGUGAAAUUGAAGUAUGGGUGAAGAUGCCCAUUACCCGCGACUGGACGGAGAGACCCCGUAGAGCUUUACUGCAGCCUGAUAUUGAGUUUCGGUAACUGAUGCACAGGAUAGGUGGGAGUCUGAGAGACAUGGGUUUCGGCUCGUGUGGAGACGCUGUUGGGAUACCACUCUUCGGUUACUGAAAUUCUAACAUAGUUCUGUGAAACCAGAGGAUGGACAGUGUCAGGUGGACAGUUUGACUGGGGCGGUCGCCUCCGAAAGAGUAACGGAGGCGCCCAAAGGUACCCUCAGAAUGGAUGGAAACCAUUCGAAGAGCGCAAAGGCAGAAGGGUGCCUGACUGCGAGAUUGACAAAUCGAGCAGAGACGAAAGUCGGGCUUAGUGAUCCGGCGGUAUUGAGUGGAAAAGCCGUCGCUUAACGGAUAAAAGCUACCUCGGGGAUAACAGGCUGAUCUCCCCCAAGAGUCCACAUCGACGGGGAGGUUUGGCACCUCGAUGUCGGCUCAUCGCAUCCUGGGGCUGUAUUCGGUCCCAAGGGUUUGGCUGUUCGCCAAUUAAAGCGGCACGCGAGCUGGGUUCAGAACGUCGUGAGACAGUUCGGUCCCUAUCCAUCGUGGGCGUAGGAGUCAUGAGAGGAGCUGUUCCUAGUACGAGAGGACCGGAAUGGACGCACCACUGGUGCAACUGUUGUCGUGCCAACGGCAUAGCAGGGAAGCGAAGUGCGGAUGGGAUAAACGCUGAAGGCAUCUAAGCGUGAAGCCCACCUCAAGAAUAAGACUCCACAAUAGACCCCUGGAGGACUACCAGGUAGAUAGGUCAUCGGUGGAAGCGCUGUAAGGCGUGCAGCUUGAUGAUACUAAUCGGUCGAAAGCUUCAUUU
Molecule: ribosomal RNA, 2065 nt
Filed under: human gut metagenome
Description: bacterial LSU rRNA
Rfam family: Bacterial large subunit ribosomal RNA
Source: RNAcentral